Molecule: ribosomal RNA, 858 nt
Filed under: uncultured bacterium
Lineage: Bacteria
Description: bacterial SSU rRNA
Rfam family: Bacterial small subunit ribosomal RNA
Source: RNAcentral
CAUGCAAGUCGAGCGAUGAAAUCUUAACAGAACCCUUCGGGGCGAAGAUAAGAUGGAUUAGCGGCGGACGGGUGAGUAACACGUGAGUAACCUGCCUUUUACACAGGGAUAGCCUCGGGAAACCGGGAUUAAAACCUGAUGAAACUAUCAAAUCACAUGAUUAAGAAAGUUAAAACUCCGGUGGUAAAAGAUGGACUCGCGUCCCAUUAGCUAGUUGGUGAAGGUAACGGCCCACCAAGGCAACGAUGGGUAGCCGGCCUGAGAGGGUGAACGGCCACAUUGGAACUGAGAAACGGUCCAAACUCCUACGGGAGGCAGCAGUGGGGAAUAUUGCACAAUGGGGGAAACCCUGAUGCAGCGACGCCGCGUGAGCGAAGAAGGCCUUCGGGUCGUAAAGCUCUUUUAUAUGGGAAGAUAAUGACGGUACCAUAAGAAAAAGCCCCGGCUAACUACGUGCCAGCAGCCGCGGUAAUACGUAGGGGGCUAGCGUUGUCCGGAAUCACUGGGCGUAAAGGGUUCGCAGGCGGCAAUGCAAGUCAGAUGUAAAAGGCAAAGGCUCAACCUUUGUAAGCAUCUGAAACUGUAUAGCUUGAGAAGUGUAGAGGCAAGUGGAAUUUUUAGUGUAGCGGUGAAAUGCGUAGAUAUUAAAAAGAAUACCGGUGGCGAAGGCGACUUGCUGGGCACAAUCUGACGCUGAGGAACGAAAGCGUGGGGAGCAAACAGGAUUAGAUACCCUGGUAGUCCACGCCGUAAACGAUGAGUGCUAGGUGUCGGUAUAAAUCGGUGCCGCAGUUAACACAAUAAGCACUCCGCCUGGGGAGUACGUGCGCAAGCAUGAAACUCAAAGGAAUUGACGGG